CCCUUAGAUGUCCGGGGCUGCACGCGCGCUACACUGUAGAAAGCAGCGUGCUUUAAAACCUUUCCUGAAAAGGAUGGGUAACCCCAGCAAAAUUCUACGUGCUUGGGAUAGAGAUUUGCAAUUUUCUCUCUUGAACGAGGAAUUCCCAGUAAGUGCGAGUCAUCAGCUCGCGUUGAUUACGUCCCUGCCCUUUGUACACACCGCCCGUCGCUCCUGCCGAUUGAAUGAUCCGAUGAAUACCAUGGAUUGAGAGUACGAAUAGGUUCGCUUAUUUCUGCUGCUCGAGAAGUGGAGUAAAUCUUAUCAUUUAGAGGAAGGAGAAGUCGUAACA
This 331-nucleotide ribosomal RNA is filed under the name uncultured eukaryote. Its description in RNAcentral is "partial 18S ribosomal RNA". It matches the Rfam family "Eukaryotic small subunit ribosomal RNA", at positions 1470 to 1796 of the family's 1831-position model. The record is from RNAcentral.